This 549-nucleotide ribosomal RNA is filed under the name uncultured bacterium. RNAcentral describes it as "bacterial SSU rRNA". It matches the Rfam family "Bacterial small subunit ribosomal RNA", at positions 355 to 896 of the family's 1533-position model. The record is from RNAcentral.
UGGGGAAUAUUGGACAAUGGGCGAAAGCCUGAUCCAGCAAUACCGCGUGUGUGAAGAAGGCCUUAGGGUUGUAAAGCACUUUCAAUUGGGAGGAAAACCUGCCGGCCAAUACCCGGUAGCUUGACAUUACCUUUAGAAGAAGCACCGGCUAACUCCGUGCCAGCAGCCGCGGUAAUACGGAGGGUGCGAGCGUUAAUCGGAAUUACUGGGCGUAAAGCGUGCGUAGGCGGUUCGUUAAGUCAGAUGUGAAAGCCCUGGGCUCAACCUGGGAACUGCAUUUGAAACUGGCGGACUAGAGUUUAGUAGAGGGGAGUGGAAUUUCAGGUGUAGCGGUGAAAUGCGUAGAUAUCUGAAGGAACACCAGUGGCGAAGGCGACUCCCUGGACUAGAACUGACGCUGAGGUACGAAAGCGUGGGUAGCAAACAGGAUUAGAUACCCUGGUAGUCCACGCCGUAAACGAUGUCGACUAGCCGUUGGCCCUAUUUACAGGGUUAGUGGCGCAGCUAACGCAUUAAGUCGACCGCCUGGGGAGUACGGCCGCAAGGUUA